GAUGAACGCUGGCGGCGUGCUUAACACAUGCAAGUCGAACGAUGAAGCCCAGCUUGCUGGGUGGAUUAGUGGCGAACAGGUGAGUAACACGUGAGUAACCUGCCCUUAACUCUGGGAUAAGCCUGGGAAACUGGGUCUAAUACCGGAUAGGAGCGUCCACCGCAUGGUGGGGGUUGGAAAGAUUUAUCGGUUUUGGAUGGACUCGCGGCCUAUCAGCUUGUUGGUGAGGUAAUGGCUCACCAAGGCGACGACGGGUAGCCGGCCUGAGAGGGUGACCGGCCACACUGGGACUGAGACACGGCCCAGACUCCUACGGGAGGCAGCAGUGGGGAAUAUUGCACAAUGGGCGCAAGCCUGAUGCAGCGACGCCGCGUGAGGGAUGACGGCCUUCGGGUUGUAAACCUCUUUCAGUAGGGAAGAAGCGAAAGUGACGGUACCUGCAGAAGAAGCACCGGCUAACUACGUG
RNAcentral lists this ribosomal RNA (466 nucleotides) under uncultured bacterium. RNAcentral describes it as "partial 16S ribosomal RNA". It matches the Rfam family "Bacterial small subunit ribosomal RNA", at positions 28 to 507 of the family's 1533-position model. The record is from RNAcentral.